This 715-nucleotide long non-coding RNA is filed under the name Pan troglodytes (chimpanzee). Its description in RNAcentral is "lincRNA". Lineage: Eukaryota; Metazoa; Chordata; Mammalia; Primates; Hominidae. The record is from RNAcentral.
AGCAUAGCAACAGCAGCGUAGCUGAACAUCUUACGGAUGGCCCAGGGCUCCAAAGGCUCGUUUCCUAAGUGAGAGAGAGCCUGGCUGAAGCUGUAUUACCAUUCAUUCUCCAGCCUCCGAAGUCUCAAAGCAUCACUUCCACCAUACUCUAACUGUCAAGACAAACACAAAGGCCCAGAAAGAAGAAUACACUAUCGAUGUUCCUUUUAAACAAGUAUUUGAGUAAAAGCGAUGUUUCCAAUGUGUGUCAGAAAGUGAAUACUUGUAUAUUUCCGCAUGGUUAGAGCUGAGCUUUCCGAGCAAAUUUUACUGGGACCCGGUUGAAAGACAGGUCUUGGAAGUGAAAUGAUGACUGACUAGAUGACAUUACAUGUAAAUGGAAUCAUACAAUAUGUGAUCUUUUGUGACUGGCUUCUUUCACUUAGCAUAAUGUUUUCAAGGUUUGUUCGUGUUGUAGCAGAAACUGCCAGACUGUCUUCCGAAGUGGCUAUAAUAUUUACACUCACAUCAGCAGUGUCUGAGUUUGCAGAGUAAACCACUACCCUGAAAUCUGGAAAGGCAGGUGCACCCAUAGAUCCUCAGCUGAGAUCCAAUUACCUGAAAUAGAAGCUGCCAUUAGGAACACUUAAAAGAGCCUGUUCUGCUGGGACACAGAAUCACUUGCUCCAUCUCAUACAUUGAUGAUGAUUAAUUUGUAUGUGUACCUUCCAAAAAA